RNAcentral lists this ribosomal RNA (252 nucleotides) under uncultured bacterium. Its description in RNAcentral is "partial 16S ribosomal RNA". It matches the Rfam family "Bacterial small subunit ribosomal RNA", at positions 524 to 776 of the family's 1533-position model. The record is from RNAcentral.
UACGGAGGAUGCGAGCGUUAUCCGGAUUUAUUGGGUUUAAAGGGUGCGUAGGCGGGAUGCCAAGUCAGCGGUAAAAAUGCGGUGCUCAACGCCGUCGAGCCGUUGAAACUGGCGUUCUUGAGUGGGCGAGAAGUAUGCGGAAUGCGUGGUGUAGCGGUGAAAUGCAUAGAUAUCACGCAGAACUCCGAUUGCGAAGGCAGCAUACCCGCGCCCUACUGACGCUGAGGCACGAAAGCGUGGGUAUCGAACGGG